GAUGAACGCUAGCGGCAGGCCUAAUACAUGCAAGUCGGACGGGAUUCAGGAGCUUGCUUCUGAUGAGAGUGGCGCACGGGUGCGUAACACGUAUGUAACCUACCUUUAUCAGGGGGACAGCCUCUCGAAAGAGAGAUUAAGCCCGCAUAAAAUCACAGCACAGCAUUGUGUAAUGAUCAAAUAUUUAUAGGAUAAAGAUGGGCAUGCGGAACAUUAGCUAGAUGGCGGGGUAACGGCCCACCAUGGCAACGAUGUUUAGGGGAUCUGAGAGGAUGGCCCCCCACACUGGUACUGAGACACGGAGCAGACUACUACGGGAGGAAGCAGUAAGGACUAUUGGUCAAUGAGCGUAAGCCUGAACCAGCCAAGCCGCGUGCAGGAAGACAGCCCUACGGGUUGUAAACUGCUUUUAUACGGGAAGAAACCCAGAUACGUGUAUCUGGCUGAAUGUACUGUAAGAAUAAGGAUCGGCUAACUACGUG
RNAcentral lists this ribosomal RNA (482 nucleotides) under uncultured bacterium. RNAcentral describes it as "partial 16S ribosomal RNA". It matches the Rfam family "Bacterial small subunit ribosomal RNA", at positions 28 to 507 of the family's 1533-position model. The record is from RNAcentral.